RNAcentral lists this ribosomal RNA (481 nucleotides) under uncultured bacterium. RNAcentral describes it as "partial 16S ribosomal RNA". It matches the Rfam family "Bacterial small subunit ribosomal RNA", at positions 28 to 507 of the family's 1533-position model. The record is from RNAcentral.
GAUGAACGCUGGCGGCGUGCCUAACACAUGCCAGUCGAACGGAGAUUACGGACGGAAGUUUUCGGAUGGAAGCCUGUAAUUCUUAGUGGCGGACGGGUGAGUAACGCGUGGGCAACCUGCCCUAUACAGGGGGAUAGCAGCUGGAAACGGCUGGUAAGACCGCAUAAGUCGGUUAAAUCGCAUGAUUUGAUCGGGAAAUGAGCAAUCAGGUAUAGGAUGGGCCCGCGUCCGAUUAGCCAGUUGGCAGGGUAAAAGCCUACCAAAGCGACGAUCGGUAGCCGGACUGAGAGGUCGGACGGCCACAUUGGGACUGAGACACGGCCCAAACUCCUACGGGAGGCAGCAGUGGGGGAUAUUGCACAAUGGAGGAAACUCUGAUGCAGCGACGCCGCGUGAGUGAAGAAGUAUUUCGGUAUGUAAAGCUCUAUCAGCAGGGAAGAUGAUGACGGUACCUGACUAAGAAGCCCCGGCUAACUACGUG